This 26-nucleotide non-coding RNA is filed under the name Homo sapiens (human). The record is from RNAcentral. Lineage: Eukaryota; Metazoa; Chordata; Mammalia; Primates; Hominidae.
AACAGCAUGGGGAAGUUAAAUAGACU